Molecule: ribosomal RNA, 249 nt
Filed under: uncultured bacterium
Lineage: Bacteria
Description: partial 16S ribosomal RNA
Rfam family: Bacterial small subunit ribosomal RNA
Source: RNAcentral
GCAAGUCGAGGGGUAGCAGGGAGCUUGCUCCGCUGACGACCGGCGAACGGGUGCGUAACGCGUAUAGAACUUACCUUUUACUGAGGGAUAGCCUUUAGAAAUGAAGAUUAAUACCUCAUAGUAUUGAGACUUGGCAUCAAGACUUAAUUAAAGAUUUAUCGGUAAAAGAUGGCUAUGCGUCCUAUUAGCUAGAUGGUAAGGUAACGGCUUACCAUGGCAACGAUAGGUAGGGGCCCUGAGAGGGGGAUC